Scomber scombrus (Atlantic mackerel) is the source of this 373-nucleotide long non-coding RNA. RefSeq lists it as uncharacterized. The record is from RefSeq and is a predicted model, not a curated record. The transcript has 2 exons. Lineage: Eukaryota; Metazoa; Chordata; Actinopteri; Scombriformes; Scombridae.
CCCAGAGUUACUUGAUAUGUUUCUUAAUUGGGGUGGUGUACCUCACUUACAAGUCAGGAGAUCAGUGUCAAGUGAAAGUGGAUGAGAGAUGAAGAAGAGAUGAAAGCGCAGAGGGUUUGGAUUUCAAAGUGAACCCAACUGAUGGAUGAGAUUUGAUUAAAAAGAAAGCUGUGUCACAGUAAUAGGAUACAACAGGAAAAUUUGCAUUUAAAUUGUAUAAUUUGAGUUCAUUAUUAAGAAGAAAAACAUUGUUACACAUGAAUCAAACUGUCAUAUCUACAUCAGUGUGGAAGGGCCUUAAGGGACUCUACAUAAAGUUUUAAAAAAAAUCAAGAUGCAGUUAAAUGGAUAACAAACAAACAAGUAAACAAAA